AUUGAACGCUGGCGGCAUGCCUUACACAUGCAAGUCGAACGGCAGCACGGGAGCAAUCCUGGUGGCGAGUGGCGAACGGGUGAGUAAUGUAUCGGAACGUGCCCAGUCGUGGGGGAUAACGUAGCGAAAGCUACGCUAAUACCGCAUACGAUCUGUGGAUGAAAGCGGGGGACCGUAAGGCCUCGCGCGAUUGGAGCGGCCGAUAUCAGAUUAGGUAGUUGGUGGGGUAAAGGCCUACCAAGCCGACGAUCUGUAGCUGGUCUGAGAGGACGAGCAGCCACGCUGGGACUGAGACACGGCCCAGACUCCUACGGGAGGCAGCAGUGGGGAAUUUUGGACAAUGGGCGCAAGCCUGAUCCAGCAAUGCCGCGUGCAGGAUGAAGGCCUUCAGGUUGUAAACUGCUUUUGUACGGAGCGAAAAGGCUCUCUCUAAUACAGGGGGCUCAUGACGGUACCGUAAGAGUAAGCACCGGCUAACUACGUGCCAGCCGCCGCGGUAA
This 500-nucleotide ribosomal RNA is filed under the name uncultured bacterium. Its description in RNAcentral is "partial 16S ribosomal RNA". It matches the Rfam family "Bacterial small subunit ribosomal RNA", at positions 29 to 523 of the family's 1533-position model. The record is from RNAcentral.